GCCAGUGUGGCACAGUGGUUUGAGCAUUGGACCAUGAUUCUGCAGACCAGGUUUUGAAUCCCAGCUCAGUCA
Molecule: non-coding RNA, 72 nt
Organism: Phrynosoma platyrhinos (Desert horned lizard)
Lineage: Eukaryota; Metazoa; Chordata; Lepidosauria; Squamata; Phrynosomatidae
Source: the annotation of a GenBank genome assembly